UCCAGACUCCUACGGGAGGCAGCAGUAGGGAAUUUUCGUCAAUGGGCGCAAGCCUGAACGAGCGAUGCCGCGUGAGUGAAGAAGGCCUUCGGGUCGUAAAGCUCUGUUGCGGGGGAAAAAAGGCAGCAUCAGGAAAUGGGUGCUGACUGAUGGUGCCCCGCCAGAAAGUCACGGCUAACUACGUGCCAGCAGCCGCGGUAAUACGUAGGUGGCGAGCGUUAUCCGGAAUGAUUGGGCGUAAAGGGUGCGCAGGCGGUCCUGCAAGUCUGGAGUGAAAGGUGCCGGCUCAACCGGUACAGGCUCUGGAAACUGGCGGGCUAGAGAGCAGGAGAGGGCGGUGGAAC
This 344-nucleotide ribosomal RNA is filed under the name uncultured bacterium. RNAcentral's name for it is "bacterial SSU rRNA". It matches the Rfam family "Bacterial small subunit ribosomal RNA", at positions 330 to 667 of the family's 1533-position model. The record is from RNAcentral.